RNAcentral lists this transfer RNA (73 nucleotides) under Olea europaea subsp. europaea. It matches the Rfam family "tRNA". From Rfam's summary of the family: Transfer RNA (tRNA) molecules are approximately 80 nucleotides in length. Their secondary structure includes four short double-helical elements and three loops (D, anti-codon, and T loops). Lineage: Eukaryota; Viridiplantae; Streptophyta; Magnoliopsida; Lamiales; Oleaceae. The record is from Rfam by way of RNAcentral.
GAUGCUGUGGUGUAGUGGUUAUCACGUCAGUCUUACACACUUAAGGUCCCCAGUUCGAUCCCGGACAGCAUCA